AGGGCACCACCAGGAGUGGAGCCUGCGGCUUAAUUUGACUCAACACGGGGAAACUCACCCGGCCCGGACACCGUAAGGAUUGACAGAUUGAUAGCUUUUUCAUGAUUCGGUGGAUGGUGGUGCAUGGCCGUUCUUAGUUCGUGGAGCGAUUUGUCUGGUUUAUUCCGAUAACGAGCGAGACUCUAGCCUACUAAAUAGUUCGCACAUUGUCUCUGUGUGUGUGACUUCUUAGAGGGAUUUUCGGUGUUCAGCCGCACGAAAUUGAGCAAUAACAGGUCUGUGAUGCCCUUAGAUGUCCGGGGCUGCACGCGCGCUACACUGGCAAAAUCAGCGUGCUUGUCCUUCCCCGAAAGGGGUUGGUAAACCCUUGAAAAUUUGCCGUGAUUGGGGAUUGUAAAUUGCAAUUAUUUUCCAUGAACGAGGAAUUCCAAGUAAGUGCGAGUCAUCAGCUCGCGUUGAUUACGUCCCUGCCCUCUGUACACACCGGCCCGUCGCUGCCCGGGACUGAGCCAUUUCGAG
Molecule: ribosomal RNA, 519 nt
Filed under: uncultured eukaryote
Lineage: Eukaryota
Description: SSU rRNA
Rfam family: Eukaryotic small subunit ribosomal RNA
Source: RNAcentral